Molecule: long non-coding RNA, 1402 nt
Filed under: Phasianus colchicus (ring-necked pheasant)
Lineage: Eukaryota; Metazoa; Chordata; Aves; Galliformes; Phasianidae
Description: lncRNA (ENSPCLG00000008119.1)
Source: RNAcentral
CUCCCACACAGGUUCUCCUGUAAUAUGUCCUGUCCAUUUGGUUUAACUGUCCUUGAAAAAGCCCAUGGAGCCUCCCUAUCCUCCCUGGAGAAGCAACAAGUCAGGCAAGGCAAAGCAAGACCUCAUCCAAGCCCCAAGGUGGCUGCCCUCUAGGCUCUACCAGUGCUGCAGCUCAGCAGGAGCAGCCAGGAACUUCAUGCACAUGAGUGGAGGUACUGGUGUUCACUGGUGCAAGCUGCAGUGGCUCUUAGGGCAUUGCUUCACACAGGGAAAAGUAACUGUUAGCCGCGCUCUAUUUUAGGUGGCAAAUAUAGUUCUCUACUCCUGGACUGCUCCCCUGAGAAACGCAGAGAAUCCGGAGAGUGGUUUUAACUGAUUCUGCAGCAGAAGAGAGGCACUGCACUGAGUCACUUGGCCUGAGAACCUCACUGAGCUGAGUAACAUGUGAUAAACUCUGUGGUAUUCAAGAGAGGAGCUUCUGCCAACAUAGAGUGAGUGUUGUUUCAAGAAACAGUUUUGACCUGGGUGAUAGAACUAAAAUGAGGAAUUCUUUUCUCCACAAAAGACUGAGAACACAUGAGAGUAUGCACAGACUGGAAUGCUUUUGAUCAUUCUCCCUCCUGUCUCGUCCCUCCAAGCCUCCCUCCCAAAAAAGCAGAUCUGUUGGCACCAAGUACUUUCAAAAUGCUGUAUGAGUUUGAGAAAUUAUAUCCUGACAGAUAAAGACUUACCCAAAUUCUGCAACCUUGCUUGCCUCUUGGGAGAGUGCUGCUGCUAUAGGGAAGAGAGUUGGAUAUGGCUUGGGCUCAGGCCACCUAAGGAAGGAUCUGGCUUUCAAUAUAAAAUUUAGAUUUUUAUUCUUUUUUACAAGUUCAAAGUUUAGGGUAAUUUGGAUUCAAAAGUUUGGUUUGGCUACUCCUGGGCUUUAUAUAUAAUAUUAGCAUCUCUGGUUGCUUCCCAGGAGUCCACUGAUGUCUUUAAAAGGAGUAUCAGCACAUGCAGAAGUUGCUAUUUUGGCAGUAGUUGAAGGUCAGUAGGCAAGGUUUACCUGUGCUUAAAAUGUGAAGUUAAUGCUUGGAAUUUUGGAAGGGUCUAAAAGUGUUAGCUAAUAUAUUAGUGCCAGUGCUAUUUAUGCUUCUGUGAAAGUCUCACUUUAGCUUACAUCAUUCUCCUCCCCUGGACCAGCAUGAUGAAGAAUCACUGCAAAAAAAAAACAAAAAACAAAACAGAUGAAGUUGCUGAUAGGGCCUCCACAGAAACCUAUGUUGAAGAAAUACACGGAAUCGAUACACUGUGUAGUUUCCUUGGUCAGCCUCCACUGUGGUUGUUUCCCACAGCCUGGCUGGUAUGGUUGGAAAUUCUUUUCUAUCUAUGAUGUUGAAUAAAGAUGAUCAGUUGAGCA